This 498-nucleotide ribosomal RNA is filed under the name uncultured bacterium. RNAcentral describes it as "partial 16S ribosomal RNA". It matches the Rfam family "Bacterial small subunit ribosomal RNA", at positions 30 to 523 of the family's 1533-position model. The record is from RNAcentral.
AUUGAACGCUGGCGGCAUGCCUUACACAUGCAAGUCGAACGGUAACAGGUCUUCGGAUGCUGACGAGUGGCGAACGGGUGAGCAAUACAUCGGAACGUGCCUAGUAGUGGGGGAUAACUACUCGAAAGAGUGGCUAAUACCGCAUGAGAUCUACGGAUGAAAGCAGGGGAUCGCAAGACCUUGUGCUACUAGGGCGGCCGAUGGCAGAUUAGGUAGUUGGUGGGAUAAAAGCUUACCAAGCCGACGAUCUGUAGCUGGUCUGAGAGGACGAUCAGCCACACUGGGACUGAGACACGGCCCAGACUCCUACGGGAGGCAGCAGUGGGGAAUUUUGGACAAUGGGCGAAAGCCUGAUCCAGCAAUGCCGCGUGCAGGAUGAAGGCCUUCGGGUUGUAAACUGCUUUUGAACGGAACGAAAAGCCCCGGGUUAAUACCCUGGGGUCAUGACGGUACCGUAAGAAUAAGCACCGGCUAACUACGUGCCAGCCGCCGCAGUAA